CAGGCUUAACACAUGCAAGUCGAGGGGCAGCAUUUCAGUUUGCUUGCAAACUGGAGAUGGCGACCGGCGCACGGGUGAGUAACACGUAUCCAACCUGCCGAUAACUCGGGGAUAGCCUUUCGAAAGAAAGAUUAAUACCCGAUGGUAUAAUCAGACCGCAUGGUCUUGUUAUUAAAGAAUUUCGGUUAUCGAUGGGGAUGCGUUCCAUUAGGCAGUUGGUGAGGUAGCGGCUCACCAAACCUUCGAUGGAUAGGGGUUCUGAGAGGAAGGUCCCCCACAUUGGAACUGAGACACGGUCCAAACUCCUACGGGAGGCAGCAGUGAGGAAUAUUGGUCAAUGGGCGCAAGCCUGAACCAGCCAAGUAGCGUGAAGGAUGACUGCCCUAUGGGUUGUAAACUUCUUUUAUAUGGGAAUAAAGUUUUCCACGUGUGGAAUUUUGUAUGUACCAUAUGAAUAAGGAUCGGCUAACUCCGUGCCAGCAGCCGCGGUAAUACGGAGGAUCCGAGCGUUAUCCGGAUUUAUUGGGUUUAAAGGGAGCGUAGGUGGACAGUUAAGUCAGUUGUGAAAGUUUGCGGCUCAACCGUAGAAUUGCAGUUGAUACUGGCUGUCUUGAGUACAGUAGAGGUGGGCGGAAUUCGUGGUGUAGCGGUGAAAUGCUUAGAUAUCACGAAGAACUCCGAUUGCGAAGGCAGCCCACUGGACUGCAACUGACACUGAUGCUCGAAAGUGUGGGUAUCAAACAGGAUUAGAUACCCUGGUAGUCCACACAGUAAACGAUGAAUACUCGCUGUUUGCGAUAUACAGUAAGCGGCCAAGCGAAAGCAUUAAGUAUUCCACCUGGGGAGUACGCCGGCAACGGUGAAACUCAAAGGAAUUGACGGGGGCCCGCACAAGCGGAGGAACAUGUGGUUUAAUUCGAUGAUACGCGAGGAACCUUACCCGGGCUUAAAUUGCAUUUGAAUAAUCUGGAAACAGGUUAGCCGCAAGGCAAAUGUGAAGGUGCUGCAUGGUUGUCGUCAGCUCGUGCCGUGAGGUGUCGGCUUAAGUGCCAUAACGAGCGCAACCCUUAUCUUUAGUUACUAACAGGUCAUGCUGAGGACUCUAGAGAGACUGCCGUCGUAAGAUGUGAGGAAGGUGGGGAUGACGUCAAAUCAGCACGGCCCUUACGUCCGGGGCUACACACGUGUUACAAUGGGGGGUACAGAAGGCAGCUACCUGGUGACAGGAUGCUAAUCCCAAAAGCCUCUCUCAGUUCGGAUCGAAGUCUGCAACCCGACUUCGUGAAGCUGGAUUCGCUAGUAAUCGCGCAUCAGCCAUGGCGCGGUGAAUACGUUCCCGGGCCUUGUACACACCGCCCGUCAAGCCAUGAAAGCCGGGGGUACCUGAAGUACGUAACCGCAAGGAGCGUCCUAGGGUAAAACUGGUAAUUGGGGCUA
RNAcentral lists this ribosomal RNA (1437 nucleotides) under uncultured organism. RNAcentral's name for it is "16S ribosomal RNA". It matches the Rfam family "Bacterial small subunit ribosomal RNA". The record is from RNAcentral.